This 403-nucleotide unclassified non-coding RNA is filed under the name soil metagenome. RNAcentral describes it as "partial contains 5.8S ribosomal RNA, internal transcribed spacer 2, and large subunit ribosomal RNA". The stretch from base 1 to 118 matches the Rfam family "5.8S ribosomal RNA", at positions 38 to 154 of the family's 154-position model. The record is from RNAcentral.
GAUGAACGUAGCGAAAUGCGAUAAGUAAUGUGAAUUGCAGAAUUCAGUGAAUCAUCGAAUCUUUGAACGCACCUUGCGCCCUUUGGCCAUUCCGAAGGGCAUGCCUGUUUGAGUAUCAUGAACACCUCAACUCUUCAUGGUUUUCCGUGAUGAGCUUGGACUUUGGGGGUCUUGCUGGCCUAUGGUCAGCUCCUCUAAAAUAAAUCAGCUUGCCAGUGUUUGGUGGGUAUCACAGGUGUGAUAACUAUCUACGCUUGUGGUUUUCCACCAGGUAACCUUCAGCAGUGGAGGUUCGCUGGAGCUCACAGAUGUGUCUCUCCUCAGUGAGGACAGCUCUUUGAAUGUUUGAUCUCAAAUCAGGUAGGACUACCCGCUGAACUUAAGCAUAUCAAUAAGCGGAGGA